AGCAGCCGCGGUAAUUCCAGCUCCAAUAGCGUAUAUUAAAGUUGUUGCAGUUAAAAAGCUCGUAGUUGAACUUCGGGGUUUACUCAUUGGUCAGGCUUAAUUGUCUGUACUGGUGAGAUGAAUCUCUACCUUCUGAGGAACUUUCAUGCCAUUUAUUUGGUGUGGUUGGAAAUCAGGACUGUUACUUUGAAAAAUUAGAGUGUUUAAAGCAGGCUAACAUCUGAAUACAUUAGCAUGGAAUAAUGAAAUAGGACGGAUUGAUUCUAUUUCGUUGGUUUCUAGGGUCACCGUAAUGAUUAAUAGGGAUAGUUGGGGGCAUUAGUAUUCAAUUGUCAGAGGUGAAAUUCUUGGAUUUAUUGAAGACUAACUACUGCGAAAGCAUUUGCCAAGGAUGUUUUCAUUAAUCAAGAACGAAAGUUAGGGGAUCGAAGACGAUCAGAUACCGUCGUA
This 450-nucleotide ribosomal RNA is filed under the name uncultured Diversispora. Its description in RNAcentral is "SSU rRNA". It matches the Rfam family "Eukaryotic small subunit ribosomal RNA", at positions 569 to 1022 of the family's 1831-position model. The record is from RNAcentral. Lineage: Eukaryota; Fungi; Glomeromycota; Glomeromycetes; Diversisporales; Diversisporaceae.